CAAGAUGUGCAUAUGUUGAGUGA
Molecule: microRNA, 23 nt
Filed under: Bombyx mori (domestic silkworm)
Lineage: Eukaryota; Metazoa; Arthropoda; Insecta; Lepidoptera; Bombycidae
Description: bmo-miR-3426
Source: miRBase by way of RNAcentral